UAGGGAAUAUUGGACAAUGGAGGAAACUCUGAUCCAGCCAUGCCGCGUGUGUGAAGAAGGCCCUAGGGUUGUAAAGCACUUUCAGUAGGGAGGAAACGCCUACGGUUAAUACCCGUGGGCUAUGACGUUACCUACAGAAGAAGCACCGGCUAAUUUCGUGCCAGCAGCCGCGGUAAUACGAAAGGUGCAAGCGUUAAUCGGAAUUACUGGGCGUAAAGCGUACGUAGGCGGUUGAUUAAGCAGGAUGUGAAAGCCCCGAGCUCAACUUGGGAACUGCAUCCUGAACUGGUCAACUAGAGUACAGCAGAGGAGAGUGGAAUUUCUCGUGUAGCGGUGAAAUGCGUAGAUAU
Molecule: ribosomal RNA, 350 nt
Filed under: uncultured bacterium
Lineage: Bacteria
Description: bacterial SSU rRNA
Rfam family: Bacterial small subunit ribosomal RNA
Source: RNAcentral